RNAcentral lists this transfer RNA (77 nucleotides) under Lysobacteraceae bacterium. Its description in RNAcentral is "tRNA-Pro". It matches the Rfam family "tRNA". Rfam says of the family: Transfer RNA (tRNA) molecules are approximately 80 nucleotides in length. Their secondary structure includes four short double-helical elements and three loops (D, anti-codon, and T loops). The record is from RNAcentral. Lineage: Bacteria; Pseudomonadati; Pseudomonadota; Gammaproteobacteria; Lysobacterales; Lysobacteraceae. RNAcentral also lists the same sequence under 5 other names.
CGGGGCGUAGCGCAGCCUGGUAGCGCACUACAAUGGGGUUGUAGGGGUCGAGAGUUCGAAUCUCUCCGCCCCGACCA